UAGAGUCAAUUAGGGAAAAUAAAGGAAUAAUUCACAGAGUAAAGGUACAUGUAAUAACAUCUAUGGCACCUUGCUCAUGGGGUUCCCUUAUAGCAUAGACUCAUGCAAGGCCUACUGACUCUUAUUCUUGGGUCGCAACAGUGUGAGCUAAAGUUCGUUGCCCAACUAGCCUUGUGUCACCACCUCUGCCUCUUCCUCGACCAUAGGUACUAGCUUGCAGUUGAAUAGGGGUCGCAAUCUAAACUUG
This 247-nucleotide long non-coding RNA is filed under the name Gossypium barbadense (sea-island cotton). RNAcentral describes it as "long non-coding RNA (GBAR_LNC008068)". The record is from RNAcentral. Lineage: Eukaryota; Viridiplantae; Streptophyta; Magnoliopsida; Malvales; Malvaceae.